Molecule: ribosomal RNA, 482 nt
Filed under: uncultured bacterium
Lineage: Bacteria
Description: bacterial SSU rRNA
Rfam family: Bacterial small subunit ribosomal RNA
Source: RNAcentral
AUUGAACGCUGGCGGAAUGCUUUACACAUGCAAGUCGAGCGGCAGCNCGGGGCAACCUGGCGGCGAGCGGCGAACGGGUGAGUAAUACAUCGGAACGUGCCCAGACGUGGGGGAUAACUACUCGAAAGAGUGGCUAAUACCGCAUACGAUCUGAGGAUGAAAGCGGGGGAUCGCAAGACCUCGCGCGUCUGGAGCGGCCGAUGGCAGAUUAGGUAGUUGGUGAGGUAAAGGCUUACCAAGCCUGCGAUCUGUAGCUGGUCUGAGAGGAUGAUCAGCCACACUGGGACUGAGACACGGCCCAGACUCCUACGGGAGGCAGCAGUGGGGAAUUUUGGACAAUGGGCGAAAGCCUGAUCCAGCCAUUCCGCGUGCAGGAUGAAGGCCCUCGGGUUGUAAACUGCUUUUGUACGGAACGAAAAAGCUCCGGCUAAUACCUGGAGUCCAUGACGGUACCGUAAGAAUAAGCACCGGCUAACUACGUG